This 641-nucleotide ribosomal RNA is filed under the name uncultured bacterium. RNAcentral describes it as "bacterial SSU rRNA". The stretch from base 1 to 538 matches the Rfam family "Bacterial small subunit ribosomal RNA", at positions 338 to 873 of the family's 1533-position model. The record is from RNAcentral.
CCUACGGGAGGCAGCAGUAAGGAAUAUUGGUCAAUGGACGAAAGUCUGAACCAGCCAUGCCGCGUGAAGGAUGACGGCCCUCUGGGUUGUAAACUUCUUUUAUAGGGGACGAAAAAAGGGUAUUCUUACUCACUUGACGGUACCCUAGGAAUAAGCACCGGCUAACUCCGUGCCAGCAGCCGCGGUAAUACGGAGGGUGCAAGCGUUAUCCGGAUUCACUGGGUUUAAAGGGUGCGUAGGUGGGUCUAUAAGUCAGUGGUGAAAUCUCCGAGCUUAACUCGGAAACUGCCAUUGAUACUAUAGGCCUUGAAUUAUCUGGAGGUAAGCGGAAUAUGUCAUGUAGCGGUGAAAUGCUUAGAUAUGACAUAGAACACCAAUUGCGAAGGCAGCUUACUACGGAUAUAUUGACACUGAGGCACGAAAGCGUGGGGAUCAAACAGGAUUAGAUACCCUGUAGUCCACGCCCUAAACUAUGGAUACUCGACAUCAGCGAUACACUGUUGUGUCGUGAGCGAAGACGAUUAAGUAGUACCGUACCGUACGGAAGGUACGGACCGAACCGUAACGGUUAGUUAAACGUUAAAGGUAAAGUUAGUUACGGUCGUUGAGACGUCGACGACGGACGACGACGAGGGAGGAGG